This 254-nucleotide ribosomal RNA is filed under the name uncultured bacterium. RNAcentral describes it as "partial 16S ribosomal RNA". It matches the Rfam family "Bacterial small subunit ribosomal RNA", at positions 524 to 776 of the family's 1533-position model. The record is from RNAcentral.
GACGAACCGUGCGAGCGUUAUUCGGAAUCAUUGGGCUUAAAGCGCGUGUAGGCGGAUUCGUGCGUCUGUCGCUGAAAUCCCCCGGCUCAACCGGGGAACGGGCGCGGAUACGACGAGUCUGGAGGGGCGUAGGGGGACCUGGAACUUCCGGUGGAGCGGUGAAAUGCGUUGAGAUCGGAAGGAACGCCCGUGGCGAAAGCGAGGUCCUGGAUGCCUACUGACGCUGAGACGCGAAAGCCAGGGGAGCGAACGGG